Molecule: ribosomal RNA, 402 nt
Filed under: bacterium
Lineage: Bacteria
Description: partial 16S ribosomal RNA
Rfam family: Bacterial small subunit ribosomal RNA
Source: RNAcentral
UGGGGAAUUUUGCACAAUGGGGGAAACCCUGAUGCAGCGACGCCGCGUGAUUUAGAAGGCCUUCUGGUUGUAAAAAUCUUUUCUAUGGGAAGAAAAUGACAGUACCAUAGGAAUAAGGACCGGCUAAUUACGUGCCAGCAGCCGCGGUAAUACGUAAGGUCCGAGCGUUGUCCGGAAUCAUUGGGCGUAAAGGGUACGUAGGCGGGUAAGCAAGUUAGAAGUGAAAUCCUAUAGCUCAACUAUAGUAAGCUUUUAAAACUGCUCAUCUUGAGGGAUGGAAGGGAAAGUGGAAUUCCUAGUGUAGCGGUGAAAUGCGCAGAUAUUAGGAGGAAUACCGGUGGCGAAGGCGACUUUCUGGCCAUAACCUGACGCUGAGGUACGAAAGCGUGGGUAGCAAAAAGG